This 438-nucleotide long non-coding RNA is filed under the name Bos indicus x Bos taurus (hybrid cattle). RNAcentral's name for it is "lncRNA (ENSBIXG00005028922.1)". Lineage: Eukaryota; Metazoa; Chordata; Mammalia; Artiodactyla; Bovidae. The record is from RNAcentral.
GCAAUCCUUCAGCUCUCCCAUCUCCCACCUCCUCUCCCUCCUCCAGUCAGUAACUCUUCUUGCGGGUACACUUGAUGCCAGUCCCUGUAUGCCAGCUGCUGUGCUAUACAACUGUACUUCUUAAGUGCAACGAAGGAGGGAUGACUUUUGCUACCUCACCUGGACCACAAGGAGGAGGAAGCCAGAGUUUCAGCCAAUCCCUACCACACCCAUUGAUGUUUCAGUGCUGUGAUGUCUGCCUAUGAGAGCUCUGAUUUUGGGUUCUGAACUUUCACCCUGCGGAUGAAGCUUUUGUCCCAAGAAUGCACUGGGGCACCUGGCUCCUGUGGACCUGUUGGAGAACCAUGUUAUGUAGGAGUCUCUGCUUGCAGAUCUGGGCUAGGUCAAGAGAGUGAUGAAGGUUAAUAAAGUCUGAAUGAAUUAGUACUUCUGACUGCA